UACGUAGGGGGCGAGCGUUGUCCGGAGUUACUUGGCGUAAAGGGCGUGCCGGCGGUGCGGCAAGUUUGGAGUGCCAGUCUCCGGCUCAACUGGAGAAGGCCUCUGAAAACUGCCGGACUUGAGGGCCAGAGAGGGACAUAGAAUUCCGGGUGGAGUGGUGAAAUGCGUAGAUAUCCGGAGGAAUACCAAAGGCGAAGGCAGUGUCCUGGCUGGCAUCUGACGCUGAGGCGCGAAAGCUAGGGGAGCGAACAGG
RNAcentral lists this ribosomal RNA (253 nucleotides) under uncultured bacterium. RNAcentral's name for it is "partial 16S ribosomal RNA". It matches the Rfam family "Bacterial small subunit ribosomal RNA", at positions 524 to 776 of the family's 1533-position model. The record is from RNAcentral.